Molecule: long non-coding RNA, 354 nt
Filed under: Hordeum vulgare
Lineage: Eukaryota; Viridiplantae; Streptophyta; Magnoliopsida; Poales; Poaceae
Description: long non-coding RNA (HVUL_LNC011624)
Source: RNAcentral
UCGGCGGGAAAUCUGAGGCACCAGGCUCGCCCCCCUCCGUGGGGGGCCCUGUCGCCCCUGUCGUUGCUGGGGCGGAGAGGAAGAGGAGAUGGCACGACAUCAAAGAGUAAGUGGCUCGUCUUUCCAUGCUCCAUGCGUUCAUCGUCCUUGCAUGGCUGAUUCCUUGCCUGAUGUCCAGAGGUGUUGCUUCGUCGGUGGUGAAGAAGAGGAAGGCGGGCGUCAAGAGGAAGGCGGCUCCAGACGCACCGCCGACUCUCCCCAACACGUCCCAGCCUGAUGAUGAAGAAGAGGAGGCUCGCGGGUCGACCUCUUAGGCCUUGGUCACCGAGCCCCUCGAGCCCCCGAAGCGUCCUG